UAGCUUGCUAAUGAAAUUCUUAGUGGCGGACGGGUUAGUAACACGUGAGAAUCCUACCCUUGAGUGGGGAAUAGCCUUUCGAAAGGAAGAUUAAUGCCCCAUAGUCUCUACGGAGUAAAGAUGCCUUCGGGUGUCGCUUAAGGAUGGGCUCGCGGCCUAUCAGCUAGUUGGUGAGGUAAGAGCUCACCAAGGCAACGACGGGUAGCUGGUCUGAGAGGACGAUCAGCAACACUGGAACUGAGACACGGUCCAGACACCUACGGGUGGCAGCAGUCGAGAAUCAUUCACAAUGGACGAAAGUCUGAUGGUGCAACGCCGCGUGGAGGAUGACGGCCCUAGGGUUGUAAACUCCUGUCAUCAGGGAGUAAGACUUAUUCGUUAAUAGCGUGUAAGUUUGAUAGUACCUGAAGAGGAAGGGACGGCUAACUUCGUGCCAGCAGCCGCGGUAAUACGAAGGUCCCAAGCGUUGUUCGGAAUAACUGGGCGUAAAGCGUGUGUAG
RNAcentral lists this ribosomal RNA (500 nucleotides) under uncultured Roseibacillus sp. RNAcentral describes it as "bacterial SSU rRNA". It matches the Rfam family "Bacterial small subunit ribosomal RNA", at positions 76 to 574 of the family's 1533-position model. Lineage: Bacteria; Pseudomonadati; Verrucomicrobiota; Verrucomicrobiia; Verrucomicrobiales; Verrucomicrobiaceae. The record is from RNAcentral.